This 496-nucleotide ribosomal RNA is filed under the name uncultured bacterium. RNAcentral describes it as "partial 16S ribosomal RNA". It matches the Rfam family "Bacterial small subunit ribosomal RNA", at positions 28 to 506 of the family's 1533-position model. The record is from RNAcentral.
GAUGAACGCUGGCGGCGUGCCUAAUACAUGCAAGUCGAGCGAACGGACGAGAAGCUUGCUUCUCUGAUGUUAGCGACGGACGGGUGAGUAACACGUGGAUAACCUACCUAUAAGACUGGGAUAACUUCGGGAAACCGGAGCUAAUACCGGAUAAUAUUUUGAACCGCAUGGUUCAAAAGUGAAAGACGGUCUUGCUGUCACUUAUAGAUGGAUCCGCGCUGCAUUAGCUAGUUGGUAAGGUAACGGCUUACCAAGGCAACGAUGCAUAGCCGACCUGAGAGGGGGAUCGGCCACACUGGAAAGGAGAAACGGCCCAAACUCCUAGGGGAGGCAGGAGUAGGGAAUCCUACGAAAUGGGGGAAAGCCUGACGGAACAACGCCGCGUGGGGGAUGAAGGUCUUCGGAUUGUAAAACUCUGUUAUUAGGGAAGAAAAUAUGUGUAAGUAACUGGGCACAUCUUGACGGUACCUAAUCAGAAAGCCACGGCUAAAUACGU